Non-coding RNA from Chlorocebus sabaeus (green monkey), 1952 nucleotides. The record is from RefSeq and is a predicted model, not a curated record. NCBI's taxonomy places the organism in Eukaryota, Metazoa, Chordata, Mammalia, Primates, Cercopithecidae.
GAAAGUGCUUUUUUAAAAAAAUUAUUUUAUUUUAUGAUCUUGCUCUAAAGGGAAGUAAAGUCAGAUGCUGAAUUGCACACAUUUUUUUCUCUUUCAUAUUUUCAACAUUGAACUUAAUUUCAAUGUUUAACAUAAAACAAUAAGUACACUUUCUCCACAUCAGUGAUUUGGGUGGUGUUUGUGAGGAGCCUGCGUUCUUUGGAAGGAAGACCUUUCGGAUGACCCGACCAGUCCUCCUCUUCGGACUCUGGAUGCUGGCGAAGCAGUCUCUCUCCAGUUUGAAUUUUAUGCUUGUGAAAGGGCUCUGUUGAUGAUUGUGAUGUCUGCAGCUUUCCAUCCGUAUGACCAGACACAUUCUCACCAGCUCCAUAUAUCAAGAUGAGGAGGGGAAAUCUGGUAGCUUUUCCUUCUGUUAACUGCUGGCAUCAGUAGAGUGAUGCAGACAUUUCUCUAUUAAGAACUGAGCUGAGACUGAAGCUUCAUUUUGUAUGAGACUGUGAAGAGGUCAUCUGAAGUCUCUCCCAGGUGAGGUUAUUAUGAUCCUGGAUUUGAAACUGUGACCUACUGGUUUGCCAGAUGCCAAGAACAAAUGCUCUGAAAUUGAUUUGCCAUAAGACAUGAUGAGCUGCUCUAGCUUGCCUGGGAAGAGUGGAAUAUUUAACCUGUGGGUGAGACUCCCUCUUGCUACCUAUCAGCUUUGCCACUGCUCUGAUCGAGAAACGUCUUGGGAGCAGAGUUGGUAAGAGUGAAUCAGACUAUCUGCCAGCAUAGGACUCGUGGUACCUGCUUGUUCGAUCCCUCAUUUCCAUCCCCUCUAUCCUUUGCCUAUUGUCAGUCAUUGUGGUUGAUCCAUUCAGAAGAAUCGUGAAUAUUCAUAGCCAUCUUAAUUUACUAAUAUAUAUUCACUAAUGUCAGAGAUCUGUCCAUGUGAUUCCUGAGCUUAUUACAGUAACAAGUUUCUCCAAUGCUACUGGGCAUAUUCUUCAUGUCUUUCUUUCCAGACUACUGACUCAAUUUAAGAUUACAUCCCUUGCUCCUUUGUGUGUAUUGCAUUUGCCCUGUAAAACUCAUUCCCUUCAUAUUGUAGGACAUCUAAAGACGUGGGGGGCAUUCCAAGAGUAGUCAUAAGAUGUGUCUGAUGCCGUUCUUUUAACGUGAUUCACUCUUCCUUUGAUCUGUGAAACUCCCUAGCAUUCUGUCAUGGCUAUUGGGGUCCUGGGAGAGAAAGUUGGAACCUGCUUAAGUAUUAAGUGGUGUAGGAUGAUUUUUCUCUGCUUCACACUCAGGCUGCUACCUCUGCAGUACAGUGUGCACCACUUCUCGCUGCAUCACUGAGGAAAGAAAUAGUAAAUUAAGUAGGUUUUUAAAUUGCCCAUUGAAUUCACAUCAUUAAAUAAUGCUAUAAGAAAUUCUUAAGCGGAGACAAGUAGGAGAAUUAAAAUGCUAUAAAUUAUGCCCGGGAGGGGCGGCGGGGUGUUAAGCACUUGUUUUGCCCUUUGUUCUGGCCACAAAGCACCCACAGCCAGGGAUGGUUCUGCCCACUGCUUAACAAUAAGUACCUGGGAGGAAGCGUGACCCCUGAGUGCCCCCAAAAGGGGGAUUAUUGUAACAGCAUUUAGCUCAUCUCUAGAAACUGGUGAAAAAUACCUCUGCAUCAUUCAGGUUACACUUGUCCCCAGGGAGCCAUUAAAGUUUCCUUCUUUCCCUCUUACUGCUGCCUGGUAUUUUCCAUUCCCCAAUUCCUUUCCUGUCCAGCAGCAAGGAAGUGGGAAAGGAACAGUGCUCAUCUUGCAUAUAAGGUAUUUCCCUGUAUCAUUCACCCUCAAAUGUCAGGAAAGUUGCAGCUACACCUGGUCAUUGGUAUUUUUCUCUGUUGUUAUUCUUGAUCAUGCCAUCCUGUCUCUUUGGCUAAUGUUUGUCCAAAUAUUCUCAUUUUCCAACCGGUCUGUAAA